GGCGUGAGAACCAGGUCAGAGUCAUGUGCUGGUGUGAGAACCAGACUGGGAGCAGGUGUCGGCUUCAGCCGAGGAGCAGGUGUCGGCUUCAGCCGAGGAGCAGGUGUCGGCUUCAGCCGAGGAGCAGGUGUCGGCUUCAGCCGAGGAGCAGGUGUCGGCUUCAGCCGAGGAGCAGGUGUCGGCUUCAGCCGAGGAGCAGGCACAGGGGUCUGCCGAGGAGAACUAGGGGACUGGCUGUGAGCAGGACUAGGACUAUGAUGAGUGAUAAGACAAACACUAGGACUCGGGCAAGGACUUGAGAGAGGACCAGGACUUACAAUCACACUAGUGCUUUGAGAAGGGCUUGGGCAACGACCAGGACUUACAGUCAUACCAGGGCUUGGGCAAGAACUAGGACAAACGGUCAAACUAGGGCUUGGGCAAGGACUGGGACUAACAAUCAAACUGGUGCUCGGGCAAGGACUAGGACAAAGACUAGGACUUACAGUAACACUGGGGCUCGGACAAGAACUUGGGUAAGGACUAGGGUUCGGACUAAGACCACGAGGGGAAUCAGUACUAAUAUUACAAAGGCAAGAAACAAGACUCGGGACCGGACUCGAAACAGGACUCGGACUACGGAUCAGUCUACGAGUGGAACUAGGACUACGACGACUACGAGAAAGACUAGGACUACAACUAGAAUCAGAACGGAAACUCGGACCAGGACUUGGACUACGACUCAGUCUACAAGUCGGUCUACGAGUAGGACUAGAGCAUGGGCUACGAAGAAGGCUGGGACUCGAACUCUGAGAGAGACUGUGACUAAAACUAGAACUAGGGCACGGACGGAACACAGGUGGAGGAGGUCUAAGAGGGCGUGACUUGACCGGGGAGAACACCGGUGGAGGAGGUCUAGGAGGCCGUAGUGGCUUAACAGGUUUACCAGGGGUGAACACCGGUGGUGGAGGUCUAGGAGGCUUAGUAGUAAUACUGGCCCUCCCCUCAAGACCCGGAUUCCAGACGGGGCCCAGUUGGACAGAGGCUGACCGUAAGGGCGGGCGGUGGGAGGUUUGGAGGAGGGCAGGCUCCUCCCCUCUAAAAUGUUCAAAAUCCUCACUAAAUGAGGUGGAAAAAGGCACGGAUUCAGGCGGAGAACGAGACUUGAGAGGGGGGGAAGCGGGUAUGGGGGGUGAAGACUGACUAGAGUCAUAGUAGUGGCGGAAAAUGUCCUGGUAAUAAUUAAUUAUAUUAUUAAAGUCAUUGUUGGGGGUGUGACUGGGCUUGGAUGUGCUACAAUUAUCCUUGAAAAUCUUCUUAUAUAAAAUUAGGUCCUUGGGUGGAAUGGGAGAAAGUUCAUCUUCAAAAAACUCCUUGUCACUAAGGUCAAAAAAAUGUGCAGAGGAAUCCACUAAGGUGUUAACGGUGACGUCAUAGGGGGGCGUGAACGGAGUGACGUCACUGUGAGUGACAGGGAAGGCGGAAGAUGGUGGGAUGCUAAUGGGAAUAACAACAUGGUGACUGGGAACGGGAGAAGUGAACAAAGUACCAACCCGUAGAGAAGAGUCCUGGGUUGGAGCGGAGGAGUACUUGGUCGGGUAUGCUGCUUGUCGGGAACGGUGUCCUGGAGGAUCCAGCGCGAGGUGACGCGUUUCUGCUCGCCAGUUUCUGUUACGUUUGCGCGGCAUCGUGGAUGCGCGGGGAGUGUCGCCUCUCGAUGCGCAGGAUCACAGCAGGCAGGAAUGAAGGGUAGCGGGGGGUGCUUGAGCCUUUCUCAGCUGCAUUCGGGCAGUACAACCUGGACAAGUGGUCAUCUCAUCGCAGGACCAACAUAGAUACUGACAAUAUUCACAGACUAGGGCCAAUUUAGUGUUGCCAAUCAACCUAUCCCCAGGUGCAUGUCUUUGGAGGUGUGGGGAAGCCGGAAUACCCAGAGGGAACCCACGCAGUCACGGAGAGAACAUGCACACUCCACACAGAAAGAUUAGGAGCCCAGGAUUGCACCCAGGAACUUCGUAUUAUGAGGACAUCUGGAAGCUGUUCAUAGGAGGGGGGUACUGUCACGGCGCUGGCUCGAACCCACUUUUCUCCGGCAGCUGGGUCUGCCAGCACCUCUGUUGGCAGUGCGCUGAGACACACCUCUGCUCGCGCUGGCCGCGUCAAACCCACAUGCCGGCAAGGCUGUGGGCGAUCAGCACUCUGCACACCUGGACUGAUGUGGUUGGGGCUGUAUAAACACCAGUGUAUCCAAGGAUCCUGGCCGGAAUUUAGUCUUCUGUACCCUAGUAAGCACCCCUUGUCUAGCUUCUAUCCUGUGUACGAGUUUCUUCUGUGAUCCCUGUUGUUCCCCUCUGGAUUCUGGACUUCCUCCAUUCAUCCUCGACCUUCGCUUAGACACAGACCUCAUUCUCCCUGACUAUCUGCACCUCCUCAUUCAACAUUUGGUAAAACACACAAAAUUUUUGCAAAAUACAAUUUUUUUUUUUUAACAAAUUAAUAUUGAUUGUAACAAUGAUACUGAUUUUCAUUUCAGCUUCUUCCUGACACAAAAUCCUUAACCCUAAAAAAAUUAAAAAAAAUAAAUUAUACUGUUUGUUUUUACUGGUUUCUAGUUAAUAGUUGAGUAGUUG
Molecule: long non-coding RNA, 2609 nt
Organism: Nerophis ophidion (straightnose pipefish)
Lineage: Eukaryota; Metazoa; Chordata; Actinopteri; Syngnathiformes; Syngnathidae
Exons: 3
Source: RefSeq, a predicted model, not a curated record